This is a long non-coding RNA of Vicia villosa (hairy vetch), 842 nucleotides long. RefSeq lists it as uncharacterized. The record is from RefSeq and is a predicted model, not a curated record. The transcript has 3 exons. Lineage: Eukaryota; Viridiplantae; Streptophyta; Magnoliopsida; Fabales; Fabaceae.
UUAAUGCAAAAUUUCUUUAUUGGAAUAUGAAAAAAGCUGCACUACGUUCUAUGCUCUCAUUGCAUUGGAACAUUCAUAUUAAAUAAACCCUACCCUUUCAUUUUUUUUCACUACAGAUCUAUAUAUUCGUAGAAUACAAAGUUCCAAUCUUGCAUGACUAAACUCUUCCUCCUUCCUCUUCCAUUACAUCCAUCAAUUUUAGGUUUUUUUUCCAGUUGCUUCUGCCAUUCCACCUCCAUUGUUUUUGGAUAAUUUUUCCUUUACUUCUGUCAUUCUAAAAUCCAUUUUAAUGCCCAUCCAUCAUGUUUGAAUACGAUUCAAAUACGAUUUACGGUAUUUGGUUUUAAAGUCUUGCUGUUUGUUGAUUUACGGAUUUUGUUUAGGAUUAAAGUUACAGCAAGCAUACAACACUGUAAUAAAACAUAAAACGGGACUGUGCUCACAAGGAUGAUAUGAGAACUUAUGACAUGGAAUGUAUAACUAUGAGCAAAAAAGACCUUCAAAGUUUUGUUUCAAACAAAGUUACAGAAUGCUAUCAAGUUAAAAAAGUUUCAUCAAGAGUUCAAGAAAUUUGUGGUAGAGUUUGAUUUGAAAGUUAGAAUGCAGCUACUGAAAGAGCACUUAGCCAGUACCAUAAGUCACAUUCACAGUGCCUACGAAAACUCAUGUUUUCAUGUUUUCAUUUUCAUUCUAUGCUAUGUAAAGAUGUCUCUAAUCACAAGGAUAGUAGUUUUUACUAUUAGACCAAUUUAUACCAGUUUUGUAGCAGGAAUAAAGAACUCCAACAUUUAUAUGAUUUUUAUUGACUGAGAAAUGAGAAAUAGUGCAUUAUUUUUUAAACA